CAUUUAACUGCAUCUCCUACUGAGCUGGAAGCUCUGGUGGAUAGGGGCAGGUCUGCUCAUUCACUGCUGCCUUCCCUGCACCUGGUACCAUGCACACAGAAUAAGCCUAGCAGAAUGCCUGUGGAUGGACUGACCAAUGAAAGUAAUGAGGUGCUGGGACCCGAAGGCUGAGUGGCAUGAGUCAUGAGGAGGCAUAGGUGGAGUUGGAGGUGGGAGGAGGAUGAUGUAGCAAAGGAUCCCAUCCAGGAUACCACAUGACAUUUCAUCAUCAUUAUCAUGUCUCUUUAGCCUCGUCUUGGCUGUGGUGGUUUCUUAGGCUUUCCUUGUGUUUGAUGACCCAGAGGUUUUGCAGAAAGUCCCUCUGUUGGGAUUAAUCUGAUGUUUUUCUCAUGAUGAGACUGGGGUUAUGGGUUUUGGGGGAGGAAGACCCUGGAGGUUAAGUGCCCUUCUCAUCAUAUCAUGUCAAGGGUACUUGCUGUCAAUGUGACUUUUUGGUGUUGAUAUUGAGCUUGAUGACCUGGCUGAGGUGGUAUUUGUCAGGGUCCUCCACUGUAAAGUUCCUCCUCUUUUGGCAUGCCCUUUUGACCAAAAAUCAAAAGUCAUGUUCUCCAGUGGUCUUUCUUAGCAAUAAAGCUGACAUUUUGG
RNAcentral lists this long non-coding RNA (645 nucleotides) under Homo sapiens (human). RNAcentral describes it as "HSALNT0337802". Lineage: Eukaryota; Metazoa; Chordata; Mammalia; Primates; Hominidae. The record is from RNAcentral.